Long non-coding RNA from Xyrauchen texanus (razorback sucker), 4074 nucleotides. RefSeq lists it as uncharacterized. The record is from RefSeq and is a predicted model, not a curated record. The transcript is spliced from 3 exons. Lineage: Eukaryota; Metazoa; Chordata; Actinopteri; Cypriniformes; Catostomidae.
CAACGUUUAUUAGUACAGCACUUCAUUAUAUGGUCCAGCAAAACAACAUUCCCCUGGACUAACCAAUAGAAACAUUCUUUACCUUAGCUGGACAUGACAUACAUGUUUGAUAUGAAAUACGUUAGUUCUUAGGACAGAGAGUAUAGAUAAUAGAAACACAUUUCUAUAGAUUGCAGUUUACCAAACAGGAAACAGCUUGCAACGCAUCAACUGUGUCUUGUAACAGCCAAGUACACUAUACUGACAAGAGAAUAAUUUGUUGAGAACCCUUAUUAUUUUACAAUGAGUUUACUGAAAUUCACUUUGUUGGGCAUACAUGUGUGGUUCUGUAACAAAUUAACACUUAAAUAAACUUAGUACACAUUCUUAUUCACAACAUAAAUACCCAAUUGAAUAUAUAACAAUACCCUUUAUGUCUACAUUGACUACCAGAACAAAUGGUAAAGUAAAGUAAUAAAAUAAUAAUAAUAAUAAUGAAAUAAAGUUGGUAAAUGACACUGUUGGGUUGUUAUUCUUCAUAUGCCCACAGGGUGGCGCCACUAAACCGUAAAUAGCGUCUAUCUGAACAUCAGUAGACGUGAACGUUGUGCAACCAACUGACCAUUACGAAAUUGCAUGUAAUCAUCAUUAAAUAAUAAAUAAUAGUGUGCAAUACAGAUUCAAACAUACAGCGAAGCACAGUCCUCAGACACUCAUAACAUUCUAGAUUGAAUAUUAAUGAAGUUGGAAGGUCGCUAGUUUAAUACUAUGAUGCAUCAGAUCAAACAACUGAUUAAGAACAGAAAGUCCACUUGCACUUACUUUAUAUGCACGUACACAAUAUUCCAAGGGAAAACUCAAAAGUACUGCCAAAGAACAGUAAUUAAACUAACUAGAGUGAAGUUAGAGAACUGUUCACUCUAACUUGCUAUAUUGCGUCUGCUCAACGCUCACGUUGUGUUCUCGCUUCAGGGAUGUGAGGCUGCAGUAACAUCAAGCAAUCUGAUUGGUCAGAAUUCUCCAUCACGUCUGAGUAUAACUGGGCCUUUUGAACAAAUAAUAAUUAAAAAAGUUACAGAGCUAAUGAUAAACUUACAUUUGUAUUAGUUAAUAUCAGGCAAUGCAUCCAAGUUCCUGCAUUUCAUGAUAAUAAACCCGUCUAGCAAAACAUUCUGGCAAACAUCUGGCAAUGGGGUGCAUUUAUGGUUGGAGAUAUCAAGUCGAAAUAUAGCUGCAAGCAGUGAUGACGGGCCCAAGCACAACUGUGGUCCAGUUCCACCUAGUGGCUUUCGGAAAACAAUGGGUGGACACAUGCAUUUGGCAUUAUUCUAAACAAUUUUGAAGCAAUUUGAGUAAAAAAUAAGAGGACUAUUUUAAAGUCUGUUAUAAGAGCCACACUUCCUGCUGCCAGGUGGUGGCGCUAUAUACAUUUUUUAUCUAAAUCUCACAUUGCACACAGAAGAUAUGAGACACUUCCUGUUUCCCAUUUUUCACCAUUUAUUUAAUACCUCACCAUUGCAACACCGAUAUAUCAAAAUCUAUUAGCAAUUUAGCACCUUCAAUGUCUUGGCAGAAUGUCAUCUAAAUGUGGUGACAGUCUCAUGAAUCACCUAGAAAGAGUAUUUAAAAGUUCAGAGAAUUCAGAUAAUCCAUCCAUCCGUUCGUCCAUCUGUCAUUUUUAAUUGUUAAUUUACAUUUUGUUUUGCUAUCUGAGUCAUUUACCUUUUUUAUUUAAACAUAAAAUGGCUUUAAAUUAAAUUAACAAAUGUAAUUCAAGUAAUUAGGUGUUGAUUUUAAUUUAAUAUGAGCAGAGUAGUCAUUUUGGCUUGUAAUUUCAUUGCAAUUCUGUGGCAAUAGGUUUCAAUUUAUUUUAUUGUUGCAUUAUUUCUCUGUUCACUGUCAAAAUAAAUUAAGUACAUUAACUUUGAGUCUGCAUUCGUUAUUUAUACACACACCAGUUAAAUACCCUCUAAAUGAAUAGACAUAAAUUAGGUUAGAAUACUGCAUGUCCACCCAUAGAAUAAUUAUUAAAACUAAAAUUACCAACUGGUUACUAACAAACAACUGCUGAUCCACAACGUUGCCACACCGUGGUCAUGACGGACUGGCACCGUUCCAAAGUUAUGUUGUGGCAAUGAAUACAGGAAUUUCACUUUUCCUGUUGUCACAAUGUAAUCAGUUACAUUGCCAUGAUAUUUUUUCAUCAAAUUACAGUGCAGUUAGGAAAUGGCUAUGUAAUUUGGCUAGCUGGGAUUACAAAAUGACUGAAUUUGCUUGUCUCAAAUUUUGCGAUGCACUUCGCUCCAUUCUUUUAAAUGCAAUUACAUGUAAAUAUUUUCAUGCAUAAUUACUGAAUAUGCAGUUAGCAACCAAAAAACAAAUGCACAGAAAAAUACCAUACAUUUAUGUGAACCUGUGGGUACUGAUAGACACUUAAUUAUGCAUGUAUUAAAAUGUUCUGCCUCAGAGAUUGCAAGAAAACUUAUCUAAGGUUAAAAUAGACGUACAAUAAAUCUGUAAACUAAAAACACAAAUGAGGAUUCAAUAAGUAGGCCUGUUGCCAUUAUUACAUUGUCUGAUAUUUAAAUCUAGUAUAUGUCCACAUACGAACAAAUACAAUUAGAGUUCAUAUAUUCAAGUGUAUUCAUUUAAAUUCCACAAGUAUUUCAUUUUUCUUUACAUAUAUGAAAAUUGUCUUUUUUGUCAUAUUGUCUUAUUCUUUAUGUUGCAUAUAUCUAUAUAUGACAAACUUUCUUGAGGAGUUGGAUGUCCUGCUGUCCUCCUUCCCAGAGGAUGGUAGGACACUUGUGGUUCUUGGCGAUUUCAACAUACACCAAAACAAGCCCCAGGCCACUGAACUGAAUGCUCUUCUGGCUUCAUUUGACUUGGAAAGUCUACACACCACAGCAACUCACAGAUCGGGCAACCAGCUGGACAUCAUUUUUACACGCCAGCAUGUACUACACCACCCAGCCCCUGGCUAUCUGACGCCAUUCGUAAACAUCAGACUGACCUCAGGGCAGCUGAGAGGAGAUGGUGGAAAUGUAAAGAUCCAGCAGAUCUAGAACACCUGCUUCAAAAGUGAACACUCCACUGAGACUGCCCUGCUGUCUGUCACUGAGACAGGCAAAAGCUGAAUCCAGAUCAUCUGACCUGAUUCUGCUGGACAUUUCUGCAGUCUUCGACACAGUCAACCAUCGGUUCAUAUUCUCCACCCUUUCUUCGCUGGGCAUCACAGGAACUGUGCUUGACUGGUUUAAUUCAAAUCUCUCUGGUAGGUCCUUCAAGGUAGCCUGGAGAGGUGAGAUGUCCAAGCCAAAUCAGCUACAUGCUGGGUUACCUCAGUGUUUGGUGCUUGGGCCACUUCUCUUCUCUAUAUACACAACAUCACGUGGACCCAUCAUUCAGUCACAUGGUUUCUCUUACCACUGCUACGCUGAUGACACAUAACUCUACUUGUCUUUCCAGCCCAACGACACCACAGUGACCGCUCGAAUCGCUGCCUGUCUGGCAGACAUCUCAGCCUGGAUGAAGGAACACCACCUGCAACUUAACACAGCCAAGACCGAACUCCUUGUCUUUCCAGCCAACCCUGCUGUUGAACACAACAUCACCGUGCAGCUGGAUGCAACACAGUAACGCCUUCCAAAAUGGUCAGAAAUCUAGGGGUAACAUCGAUAACAAAUUAAAUUCUGUCAUUGCAGGAUCAAGAUCAGAAAGAGGAGCUGGCAUACAGAACAUUCACAAGGUAUGCUUCAGCAUACCAUAAAUCAUUUCUGCAGAGCUACGUGCCCACUAGAAGCCAGCGGUUGGCUAAGGAGCAACGCCUUGUUGUACCAAUACAAAGAGGCACCAAAACACUUUCAUGGACUUUCGGCUUCAUCAUACCACGUUGGUGGAAUGACCUUCCCAACUCCAUCCAUGAAGCUGACUCACUUUCUGUCUUCAAAAACUGCUAAAAACACAACUUUUCCAUGAGCACUUAACCAGCCAAUAAAAAAAAAACUUCUUGUUGCAAUUUAAUCUGUUUUGAAUACUAUUCAGACGCUAGUGAAACUUUGUAGUAUGGCACUUUUUGUACCACUGUCUCCUUAA